RNAcentral lists this ribosomal RNA (141 nucleotides) under uncultured eukaryote. RNAcentral's name for it is "partial 18S ribosomal RNA". It matches the Rfam family "Eukaryotic small subunit ribosomal RNA", at positions 1299 to 1458 of the family's 1831-position model. The record is from RNAcentral.
UCGUGGAGCGAUUUGUCUGAUUAAUUUCGAUAACGAACGAGACUCCGGCUUACUAAAUAGUCUAAAGUUCGCAGGGACUUUUCAAGACUUCUUAGCAGGAUAAGUGGCACUUCUUAAGCCACACGAAAUGGAGCAAUAACA